Molecule: ribosomal RNA, 405 nt
Filed under: Ixodes columnae
Lineage: Eukaryota; Metazoa; Arthropoda; Arachnida; Ixodida; Ixodidae
Description: partial 16S ribosomal RNA
Source: RNAcentral
UAUUUUGACUAUACGAAGGUAUUGAAAUAAGGCUUUAAAUGGGCGCUAAGAGAAUGAUUUAACAAUUAUUAGCUUUCUUUGUUAAAUAAAUUGAAUUUAAUUUUUUUGUGAAGAAGCAAAAAUAAAAUUUAGGGACAAGAAGACCCUAUGAAUUUUAAUUUAUUAAUAAAUUUUUAUAUUAAUUAGUAAAUUUAAUUGGGGUGAUGGAAAAAGAAUAAGGAUCUUUUUUUAUAAAAUUAAUUUGUUCCGUUAAUAACGAUUAAAUGAAAAAAAUACUCUAGGGAUAACAGCGUAAUAAUUUUGGAUAGUUCAUAUAGAUAAAAUAGUUUGCGACCUCGAUGUUGGAUUAGGAUUCUUUUUUGGUGAAGAAGUUAAAAUAAGAAGUUUGUUCAACUUUUAAAUUCC